AGCAUGUGGUUUAAUUCGAUGCAACGCGAAGUAACCUUACUGGGCUUGACAUCCCGAGAAUCCCUGGAAACAGGGAGUGCCUUUCGGGGAACUCGGAGACAGGUUGCUGCAUGGCUGUCGUCAGCUCGUGUCGUGAGAUGUUGGGUUAAGUCCCGCAACGAGCGCAACCCUUGUCUUUAAUUGCCAGCAUUCAGUUGGGCACUUUAAAGAGACUGCCGGUGUUAAGCCGGAGGAAGGUGGGAUGACGUCAAGUCCUCAUGGCCUUUAUGCCCAGGGCUACACACGUGCUACAAUGGGUGGUACAAAGAGAUGCCAACUCGCGAGAGCGCGCCAAUCUCAGAAAGCCAUCCUCAGUUCGGAUUGGAGUCUGCAACUCGACUCCAUGAAGUUGGAAUCGCUAGUAAUCGCGGAUCAGCACGCCGCGGUGAAUACGUUCCCGGGCCUU
RNAcentral lists this ribosomal RNA (445 nucleotides) under uncultured Syntrophus sp. Its description in RNAcentral is "bacterial SSU rRNA". It matches the Rfam family "Bacterial small subunit ribosomal RNA", at positions 936 to 1382 of the family's 1533-position model. The record is from RNAcentral. Lineage: Bacteria; Pseudomonadati; Thermodesulfobacteriota; Syntrophia; Syntrophales; Syntrophaceae.